AUGCCGAAGGGGGCAAACGGAUUGAGGCCGGGGCCGAGCGCGCGGAGGUUCUUGUGGAGCAUCGGCGACGAGGAGGUAGAGGAGGAAGACGGGCGGCGGCGCACCAUAGUAUGUCGAAUCUGGGUUGGUUUUUUCGGGGGGAGACGGAUGAGAUCAGAGGAAGGCGUCGACGGAGUUGGGGAUCAUGUCUUCCGUCCGGAAAUCAAUCAAAAAUCGCAAAUUUCGAUCGACCGGAGGUGGGGAAGGCGACGGACGGCGACGAGGAGGGGAUUGGGAUGA
This 279-nucleotide ribosomal RNA is filed under the name Triticum aestivum (bread wheat). RNAcentral describes it as "partial small subunit ribosomal RNA". Lineage: Eukaryota; Viridiplantae; Streptophyta; Magnoliopsida; Poales; Poaceae. The record is from RNAcentral.